CCCUUAGAUGUCCUGGGCCGCACGCGCGCUACACUGAUGCAGGCAAUAAGUUACCGUUUUCGAGAGAUUAUGGGAAUCUGAAAACUGCAUCGUGCUGGGGAUUGACUCUUGUAAUUUUUAGUCAUCAACGAGGAAUACCUAGUAAGCGCAAGUCAUCAGCUUGCACUGAUUACGUCCCUGCCCUUUGUACACACCGCCCGUCGCUCCUACCGAUUGGGUGAUUCGGUGAGCCUUUCGGAUCGGUGCCUAGCACUGAAAAGUCAUGCAAAUCUAAUCACUUAGAGGAAGGAGAAGUCGUANCA
Molecule: ribosomal RNA, 302 nt
Filed under: uncultured eukaryote
Lineage: Eukaryota
Description: partial 18S ribosomal RNA
Rfam family: Eukaryotic small subunit ribosomal RNA
Source: RNAcentral